Molecule: long non-coding RNA, 1046 nt
Organism: Piliocolobus tephrosceles (Ugandan red Colobus)
Lineage: Eukaryota; Metazoa; Chordata; Mammalia; Primates; Cercopithecidae
Exons: 3
Source: RefSeq, a predicted model, not a curated record
CAGAGGGAGUGCUGUUGCACCAAGUUCUUUGUGUGUGGAAUGGGAAGGUGGCUUAAACUCUUAUUCCAGGAGGCAGGUGCACUGAAAGCCUGGAGUUACAUCUGGACAUGGAGCAGAGAGUGCACCACUGUAUCAAGGAUCUGUGCACAGGAAGGAAGGGGCACCUCAGGCUCCUAAUCUAGCCUUUCCCCAGGUUAUCUCCCGGAGUUUGAGAGAAACAAGUUAUUCUCCCUUGGCCUGGAUUGCUCGGAUCCCUAGUGGAAAGGUUUUUACUGCUUUAUCACCACAGCUGGACACAACUGGCUUCAUACUGCCUUCUGGCAACUGCAGGAUGUCUGAACUGUCUUGAACCUAUUUCCUUACCUUUUAAAAUGGUAAAAUUUUGUGGAUACAGUAUUGGGUACUUACAGACCUUCUUCACCUCUGAAAAGUUACCAUCUCUUAACCUCAUUAAUCACUAGAACAGGUUUUUGAUUUAAAGCAGAACUCUCUCUUUUUCUUCCAAAUUCAGGAGUUAGUGAAAUAGGAAUGAACUGCCAGUCACUCAGCCUUCUAGACUUUAUUUGCAUUUCAUUGGAAAGUUUAAAGUGCAUAGGCGUAUAAACACUUUUCUGGUUUGAGGAUCCAAAUCCUUCAAAUUUCCCAAGUUGUCCAACCACAAAAAAAUUAAGCACCAAAUGCUCCAGUCUAGACCAGGGGACCUCAGCCAUUUUCUUAUCCCAGCAUGCUAAGCUGUUUGACACAUUUUUAUCAGGAACAGCAAUCCUCAAAACUGAGGAGCUAUUAUCAGAAUCACUGGGGCAGGAAGCUUCCCUUUGCCUGUUGAGAAUUUCUAAAGUCUUCAAAUUCAUUUAUUCCUGGGUUCUUCUCUAACAACACUUCCAACAUUAGCAAAGUACUAUCAGAAUCAAUAGUAUCUGAAGGUUUGAAAAUUUUGCCAGGUUACUUAAAAACCCUCAUUGCCAAGUAAAUUUUUGUAACUGAACUUGAUGAUCUGUCCACAGCCCAUCAUGAAAUCAAUACAGUUCAAUAGGUGAAAAUUAAAC